AUACGGAGGGUGCGAGCGUUACUCGGAGUCACUGGGCGUAAAGCGUCCGUAGGCGGUCGGGUAAGUCGGGUGUGAAAGCCCCGGGCUCAACCUGGGAAGUGCACCCGAUACUGCUCGACUCGAGUGCGGGAGAGGAUGGCGGAAUUCCCGGUGUAGCGGUGAAAUGCGUAGAGAUCGGGAGGAACACCAGUGGCGAAGGCGGCCAUCUGGCCCGCAACUGACGCUGAGGGACGAAAGCGUGGGGAGCAAACAGGAUUAGAAACCCUUGUAGUCC
This 274-nucleotide ribosomal RNA is filed under the name uncultured bacterium. RNAcentral's name for it is "partial 16S ribosomal RNA". It matches the Rfam family "Bacterial small subunit ribosomal RNA", at positions 523 to 796 of the family's 1533-position model. The record is from RNAcentral.